RNAcentral lists this signal recognition particle RNA (96 nucleotides) under pig gut metagenome. Its description in RNAcentral is "Bacteroidales small SRP". It matches the Rfam family "Bacteroidales small SRP", at positions 6 to 100 of the family's 107-position model. From Rfam's summary of the family: The non-coding component of the signal recognition particle in Bacteroides The record is from RNAcentral.
GCCCGGGUAAGUCCUACACGACCAGCUCCCCCCAAACUCCGUCAGGUCUUGAUCGAAGCAGCGGUAGGGGGUUGUAGCGGUGCGAUGCGGGUCUUA